This 253-nucleotide ribosomal RNA is filed under the name uncultured bacterium. RNAcentral's name for it is "partial 16S ribosomal RNA". It matches the Rfam family "Bacterial small subunit ribosomal RNA", at positions 524 to 776 of the family's 1533-position model. The record is from RNAcentral.
GACGUAGGGCGCGAGCGUUGUCCGGAUUUAUUGGGCGUAAAGAGCUCGUAGGCGGUUUGUCGCGUCGUUCGUGAAAACUCACAGCUUAACUGUGAGCUUGCGGUCGAUACGGGCAGGCUAGAGUUCGGUAGGGGAGACUGGAAUUCCUGGUGUAGCGGUGAAAUGCGCAGAUAUCAGGAGGAACACCGGUGGCGAAGGCGGGUCUCUGGGCCGAUACUGACGCUGAGGAGCGAAAGCGUGGGGAGCGAACAGG